Molecule: non-coding RNA, 222 nt
Filed under: Streptomyces sp.
Lineage: Bacteria; Bacillati; Actinomycetota; Actinomycetes; Kitasatosporales; Streptomycetaceae
Source: RNAcentral
AGUGUUGAUGUUGCUGGUGGUUCGCCGGGCACAGCCGUGUCCGGCGUCGCAAGAGGGAACCCGGUGCAAGACCGGGACUGCCCCGCAGCGGUGAGCGGGAACGACCGCCGUCCUACGCACUGGGUCCGGACAACGGGCCCGGGAAGCGACGGCCAGUAGGGGUCUCGUACGACACGAGACGCGCCCGCGAGUCCGAAGACCUGCCACCGGUGCGCACGCCGG